AACGAACGCUGGCGGCGCGCUUAACACAUGCAAGUCGAACGAGAAGGCGUAGCAAUACGCUUGUACAGUGGCGAACGGGUGAGGAAUACAUGGGUAACCUACCCUCGAGUGGGGGAUAACCCGCCGAAAGGCGGGCUAAUACCGCGUACGCUUCCGAUCUUGCGGGAUUGGAAGGAAAGCUGUCCCUUGGGGAUGGCGCUCAAGGAUGGGCUCAUGUCCUAUCAGCUUGUUGGUAGGGAACGCCUACCAAGGCAUCGACGGGUAGCUGGUCUGAGAGGACGAUCAGCCACACUGGCACUGCGACACGGGCCAGACUCCUACGGAGCAGCAGUGAGGAAUAUUGCGCAAUGGGCGAAAGCCUGACGCAG
Molecule: ribosomal RNA, 368 nt
Filed under: uncultured bacterium
Lineage: Bacteria
Description: bacterial SSU rRNA
Rfam family: Bacterial small subunit ribosomal RNA
Source: RNAcentral